ACCGCAUUGACCAGUAUCAGU
RNAcentral lists this microRNA (21 nucleotides) under Ananas comosus (pineapple). Its description in RNAcentral is "microRNA s0836_c114a". Lineage: Eukaryota; Viridiplantae; Streptophyta; Magnoliopsida; Poales; Bromeliaceae. The record is from RNAcentral.